Bubalus bubalis (water buffalo) is the source of this 5622-nucleotide long non-coding RNA. RefSeq lists it as uncharacterized. The transcript is spliced from 3 exons. The record is from RefSeq and is a predicted model, not a curated record. Lineage: Eukaryota; Metazoa; Chordata; Mammalia; Artiodactyla; Bovidae.
UGCCAGGAAAAUCCCAAGGACAGAGGAGCCUGGCGGACUAUAGUCCAUGGGGUCACAAAGAGUAGGACACAACUGAGCUCAUACACACACCGGACUAUUACUUCUCUUCCUCCUGAGGCACUGGUUCCUAGAAAACAGUCCCCCCAGAUUCUUCAUCAAAAUUUACUUUUCUGAUAUCCCCCUGCCUCCAACGUAUUAAUGUAAGUAAACGCAGAGAUCUAAUAGGUUGUCUUCCUCUGGGAAAACCUGUUUAUCCAGAAAUGGUGAAGGGGAUUAUUGGGGGCAUACAUGUGUACAGAGGUGUUUUUUUUGUUUUGUUUUGUUUUUUUCUUUUCUUUUCUGUAAUCCUGCAAAGCAAAACACUCAAAGAAAGGUUGGCAACUUUUCCCCUGGAGUUUCACCUUGUCUUAUAGAAAGUACACAGGGCCUGGAAACAAAUUAAUUUUGAUCAACUUUGGUCUUGCUUUCUAGACCCUGUCAAAGACACUAACAAGCAGAGAAACAGCCAGAUCAGGGGAAAGUUUGGAGGUGGAUGGGGUGGAAAGGGCCUUAUAAUCCUCAAUCAGAAUUGUGGCUCUCUAGGCAAUGGAAUAUUAAAUCCCUGAAAUUGUAGUAUAAAAUGUUGUUUUAUGAAUUCUCUUAUGUCUUUAAACAACUUCAGAAAGGGGGAAAAGGUAGUUUCAUCUUAGAAUAUAUCUUGAUUGCUCUGGGCUCAUGCUAUGGUAAGUUUUAAAUCAAGGAGAACUGCUUAGUGUAUUUGUUUUGGAGUCUCAAAAAAAAAGCAGGGUAGGGGGCGGGGGGAGAAAGAAGUGUGCUGCGUAGCUCAGACUGACAAUCAGAACAUGAUAAUACAGAGCCCUUCCAAGUGGAGGUAAAAUCCCCACAAAAAAGACUCUGUCUGCUUGUGGCCCAGUUCUUUCUGGAGUUCCCACCUCCACCCCACCCUAACUCCUUUUUAUAUAAACUUCUAGAGGGACAUCUUUGGCAUCCUGGGAAAGCCCUGUCCAUCUGCCAAAUACAGCUUCUCUUCUGAUCUUUUCUUAUGAUACUGUUUUCAAGGCUGACACAUUUCUCUUCAUAGUUACCCUUUCUUUCCUUCCCUUUUGCCAGUUUUUAGUCCAGUAUGCCAAUUGUCCUGCACUUCCAUGACCUCAGACCUUAAACAUUUUCACCAACAGUGGAGAAUUCUGUAGAGCACUUUCUGAAAAACUCGGUCUCUAAUCUCCUCCCUUCCCCCAGCCAGCUCACAGGGGCAGUGAUUUCCUCGAAGAAUUUCAACAAAUUAGUUCUCCACGACUUCCCUUCCUAAAAUGAUGUUAGCUGUCUUUAAUCAAGCUUGCUAUUCCAACUGUUCUUGAUUUGAUACCUUCAAGUCGUUACAGAGUCCUUCUCUUGAACUGAAGUUAAACUGACUGGCUUAUCUUCUGAUUUCCAGCAUAGCCACAGACACUGAUAAUAUUUCAGAGAGGGGGUAUGGGUGAUGAAGAGGAAAAGGAUUCAUUGCAUCUUUUAACUUAUCCUACUCUUUUCAUGGACACUUUUUUUUUAAUAAGUCCAAAAAUAAGUUUUUAAAAUCAGAAUCCCAGAGACAGGCAUCUCAAAAUCAGUCCUGGUGCUUUAAAAAUGUUAGUACUCCUUUUACAUGUUUGAACAAAUGUUUAAAGUAAGGCCACCUUCAUUAUCUGGUGCCAAUGGCAUGAAUUUCCUACACUAAUCAUGGCUGGUAUUUACUUGGUGUUUGUAGUGCCAAAUCUCAACUUCUGAAGUCAAGAGGUUAAGUUAUAAAUACCCACUAUUAGAUAGCUGUAAAAUAUUUGCCUGAAGGCUUUGAUAGUUUAAAGCUUUCCAUUAUACGUAUAUACAGAUAUGUAUAUUCUUGUAGCUAUGUAUAUUUUACGAUACAUAUGUAUCUCCACAACACCUCAUGUGUGGUCACGAUAUCCAUCACAUAAACUUCUGCAUUUUCCAAACCCUGGGAUACAGUUUCAAACCAUAUAUAAACUGACUUUAUACUGCCCAUAUGCACUGCAUUGGGCCCUACCACACGGAUGGCAUCAUUAUUUCCACACAGUCUGAUUCACAGUCCAACCCAGGAGAGGGUCUCAAGGAAAAGAUGUUUUAGGACCAGGUUUCCAACUUGAAACUCUCCAUGGGAAUUUCCAGAAUAACUCUGAUACAUCAAGGAGGGAGAAAAAAGUGAAGAAGGACUGAAAACCAGAACCAAAACCAAACAAAAGGAGAAGCAUUAAAAAGUUAUGUGAUGAAGUGGGAUGCUAUAAAGUUUUUAUUAUGACUUGUUUGGAAAGAGCUUGCUUAACAAAUGCAGUCAUCCUCUAUUCAAAUGCAAAGCAAUAAAACAUUUUAUAGUCCACUAUCACAUGCCAUAAUGUGUAGGGAAUCGUUAAGCCCAAUCAGAUCUUAGAAAAGAACGCUGUGUUUGCUCUUCUAGGAAAGUUUGCCUUUAAAAGAGAGAGGGUGGGGAAGUGACGGAAGAAAUAGUUACAGAGAUGGAGAAUUGUCUGGAAAUUAUAUCAACUGAGGAAUGGGUGCAGAAAGAGGAGCUAUCUUUUUACCUGGAAGAGAGAACACUGGUGGGGGAAAUGAGAGCUGUCUACACAUAUUGUAAGGGCAAUUUUGCAGACAUGUUAUUAAUUUUAGAGUUAUGAUGUUAAGUUAUAAAGGACAGAACUAGAUCCAGUUGAUAAACAUUGGGGUGAAGGGAGGGGGAUAGAUUUGACUCAAUAAAUAAUCUUCUGACAUGAUAGCUUUUCACAAAGGGAUGAUCUGCCUUGGGAAUUAUUGAGUUCCCCGUGUGUAGAAGAUUAAGCAGAGGCUCAGUUAGCAUCCAAUAGGGAUGUCAUACAGGUUCCUGCAGCAGAUGGACUCUGGAUGAGUUCACCUAUAUGGUACCUCCCCAGUCUAGAUGUCUGUGAUCCUAAGAUAUGCAUAGAAUUCCAAAUUGGUGUUUGGAGCUAUUUCGUGUGCUUGCGUGCUCCUCCAUAGAUCUGAGUAUGCAUCGAAAUAGGAUUUUCAUGAGAAAAAUUUUUUUAGUAUAAAUUUAUUCUCAUUGGUUAGUGUUGCCUAUGAAAAAAAGGGGUUUCUUUUUUAAAGUGAGAAAUGUCCUCAAUAAAGUCUUUUCUGACCUCAGAUAUGGAACGUGGAGUUUUUCUAUUGUUCAUUCAUAACCCUUUUGUCAAAUGUUUUCACACUGGGAAGCAUGAUAUGUUGAAAGGCUGUGGGGAAAUUCCAAAAGGUUUAAAGAAAUCAGAGCUGUCAAGUUCUGAACAGAAAUUUGAUGUAAAGUAUAUUAGUUGAUUCUUUUCCUUCCACAUUAUCACCCUUAUUCCUGUUUUUUUUUUUUUUUCCAAAUCACACAUCUGCCAAAAACCCCCUUUCCUUUUGACUCACCCGCCUUCAUUUUCACCUCCUGUGUCCUCUUACAUUCAGUUCUUGCCUCUCAUAGCAUAUUUUCUUUCUGAGGUAAAACAAAGGAAACCUAUUCCUUUAGCUCUCUCCUUAAUAGGAGAGACCAAAUGGGCUCUCAGAAGGGGUAGUGAAUGAGAAAGUUGGAGAAUUGCUGAGCUAGUCUCAUUGUCUCACUCCUUGUUUAUGCUCAAACUUGCCAAAAAUUGCCCAGGAACAGACUUCCUGCUCCAUCAUUUAAAAUGACUCUCUCUCUCUCUUCUACUUUCUUGCCAAACUUACUUCAUGAUACAAGAGACUGAGAUGGAAGAGGGCAAGGUAAUAAGCUCAGGAUGAAUUUUAUCCUUAUUAAGUACCUUUCAUUCCUCAGAAUCCCUGAAGGCCUGACAAUCUAUAUUUCAUGCCCUUCAACCUCACCGCAGAAAGUUGGAGUCUGCUGCGAAGGGCAUGCACAAUAAAAGCCGGGGUAAACCCUCUUCAAGCCCGAUCAUCACUUCCAUCAUGCAUUAGCAUUUCUGUGACACCCUGUAUUGGUCAAUGUUAUAUUACUCAGUCUAGACAGGAGGGAAAGGGGUCUUCCUGUAAAUGGUAUUUCCACACAUUUUCCUUCUCUUUACUUGCCUUCCUUCUCAGGUUCCCUCUUUGGGUGCUAUAUUUUCCCUCUCACAGAGAAGUCUUCUUUUUAAAUCCUUCAGAAUUCAUCUCAGGAAGUUUAUGAGGGAAGCAUUUACCUCACAAAGCAGGAGGUACAGAGUGAACAUUUUCUUUUUAAGUUUUUCAUUAAAUAGAAACGUGUUAUGAAAUAAAAUAUUAAAUGUGAAUAGCACGUGACCCUACCUUAAAGGAAAAGAUAGCUCAUUCACCAAGCAGAGGAAAGACGGUCUUAACCACACCAGUCUACCAUUAGUUGUGAAAACAUUAAAAUAGCUGAUCCAUGAAGUGUGUGCUUAGUAGGUAUCACCUGUUUUACAUUUACUAUCUCAUUUAUUUCCCACAACAACCUUAUGAGGUGACACUGUAUUAUUUUCAUCAUGAAAGAGAAAAAUGAAGCUUGGAGAAAUUAAUCAAGACGUGUGCAAGUCACGCCAAUUUUUUAAGGAAUGUGGAUCCAUGGAUUUCUGACUUCAAAAUCUUUCCCCCGAACCACCAUUUUCCAUCCUGCCUCAGGCAUUACUUCCAGGAGGAACAGGAAGAUAGAGGCCAUUUUCAUUUUGAGUGGAUCUUCCUGGCUGCCUCCAUCUUGACUUAGGGUCGAUGCAGUCUUUCUUUUAUUGUGACUUUGGGGUGAACCCUGAGCACUGGGAAUUCUCCAUUAGUGGGGAACUCCUGGUUGCAUGGAGACUGGGUAAAGAAAGAAAGGCUGUUUGAUACUGCGCCCCCUUGUUUCUCUGCCUCUGGAGAAGGUGUGCUGGCUCCCAACCAGCUUUCCACACUCAGAGACUUAAAUCCUCUAAAGACUCCUUCUGGGAAGGCCUUGGCACCAGGACUCGGUGGGUACGCCCGAGCUGGGCCUUCACAGAGGAUGUUCCUGAGAGAUUGCAACUGUUCCUGAGACCAAGAACUCAUUUCAGUGAUUCUUUCUGUCUAAGAGUUUCUUAGGGAAGGAAGCCAGGCUCAACCCUCUGAAUUUGGAGUUGGCAGCUGUUAGCACUGCUCUGUCACAGUGGACAUUUGUCAUUCUUUCUGGUUGCCCAGCAAGUAUUUAAACUCCUCACCCGUCCUGGCAAACGUCCCCACCUUAAGAUUCUUGGUGGGAGGCCAUGUUAUGAAGCAGCAAAGAAACUGAGAAUGCUGUCUAUUCAUUGUUCCCCAAAUUUCUCUACAGUGAGGGCCCAAACAUGUGACCCGGGCUUCUGCAAUCAGACACAUCCAUCACAGAUUGAGAAUCCAGAAUUCAUGAUGCAAGGAGUUUGGAUGGUGAGGAAGACUCUGGCAGUGGCCGUAGCUGCAGGGUGACCAAGGCGCUAUGCCAGCAGGGGGUGGGAAUGCCAGAGGCAGCGUCCAGUUCCCAGAGGUGGCAGCCUAAGGCGUGCCAGCUGCAGAGUCUGGGGUCACACAUCACUGCACCGUCCUGCCUGGAGCAGUCCCACAGUUUGAUUCUGGGCACUGUUUCUGGCUGUGGAGUUGAGAAUCAUGUACUCUAAGUUACCUGGCAAAGCCAGGAGCCAGUCUAAAGCCUUUUAAUAAAUUCUUCUCCUA